This 416-nucleotide ribosomal RNA is filed under the name uncultured archaeon. RNAcentral's name for it is "bacterial SSU rRNA". It matches the Rfam family "Archaeal small subunit ribosomal RNA", at positions 582 to 997 of the family's 1478-position model. The record is from RNAcentral.
UACUAUUAGACUUGAGACCGGGAGAGGUUAGAGGUACUCCCAGGGUAGAGGUGAAAUUCUGUAAUCCUGGGAGGACCGCCUGUUGCGAAGGCGUCUAACUGGAACGGUUCUGACGGUGAGGGACGAAAGUUAGGGGCGCGAACCGGAUUAGAUACCCGGGUAGUCCUAACUGUAAACGAUGCGGACUUGGUGUUGGGGUGGCUUUGAGCUGCUCCAGUGCCGAAGGGAAGCUGUUAAGUCCGCCGCCUGGGAAGUACGGUCGCAAGACUGAAACUUAAGGAAUUGGCGGGGGAGCACCACAACGCGUGGAGCCUGCCGGUUUAAUUGGAUUCAACGCCGGACAUCUCACCAGAGGCGACAGCUGUAUGAUAGCCAGGUUGAUGACUUUGCUUGACUAGCUGAGUAGAGGUGCAUGG